RNAcentral lists this ribosomal RNA (492 nucleotides) under uncultured bacterium. RNAcentral's name for it is "partial 16S ribosomal RNA". It matches the Rfam family "Bacterial small subunit ribosomal RNA", at positions 29 to 507 of the family's 1533-position model. The record is from RNAcentral.
AGUGAACGCUGGCGGUAGGCCUAACACAUGCAAGUCGAACGGCAGCACAGUAAGAGCUUGCUCUUACGGGUGGCGAGUGGCGGACGGGUGAGGAAUACAUCGGAAUCUACUUUUUCGUGGGGGAUAACGUAGGGAAACUUACGCUAAUACCUCAUACGACCUACGGGUGAAAGCAGGGGAUCUUCGGACCUUGCGCGAUUGAAUGAGCCGAUGUCGGAUUAGCUAGUUGGCGGGGUAAAGGCCCACCAAGGCGACGAUCCGUAGCUGGUCUGAGAGGAUGAUCAGCCACACUGGAACUGAGACACGGUCCAGACUCCUACGGGACGCAGCAGUGGGGAAUAUUGGACAAAGGGCGCAAGCCUGAUCCAGCCAUACCGCGUGGGUGAAGAAGGCCUUCGGGUUGUAAAGCCCUUUUGUUGGGAAAGAAAAGCAGCAGGUUAAUACCCCGCUGUUCUGACGGUACCCAAAGAAUAAGCACCGGCUAACUUCGUG